GAGGGUAUAGCUCAGUGGUAGAGCACACGCUUAGCAUGCAUGAGGUCCUGGGUUCAAUCCCCAGGACCUCCA
RNAcentral lists this transfer RNA (72 nucleotides) under Camelus bactrianus (Bactrian camel). It matches the Rfam family "tRNA". Rfam says of the family: Transfer RNA (tRNA) molecules are approximately 80 nucleotides in length. Their secondary structure includes four short double-helical elements and three loops (D, anti-codon, and T loops). Lineage: Eukaryota; Metazoa; Chordata; Mammalia; Artiodactyla; Camelidae. RNAcentral also lists the same sequence under 2 other names. The record is from Rfam by way of RNAcentral.